UCGUACGGGGAGCAAUCCUCGUGGCGCAAGGGUGAGUAAUGCGACGGUAACCAACCCCAGGGCUGGCCAUAGCCGCGGGAAACCGCGGGUAAUAGCCAGCGAUGCAACCAGUCGGCAUCGGCCGGUUGUCAAAGGUGUGAUUCCGCCCUGGGACGGGCCGUCGUGGUAUUAGGUUGUUGGCGGGGUAACGGCCCACCAAGCCUGUGAUGCCUACCGGGCGUGCGAGCGUGGCCCGGCACACUGGGACUGAGACACUGCCCAGACUCCUACGGGAGGCUGCAGUCGAGAAUCUUCGGCAAUGGGCGCAAGCCUGACCGAGCGACGCCGCGUGGAGGACGAAGGCCUUCGGGUUGUAAACUCCUGUCGAGGGGAAGGAAGGAACGGCGCAAAGCCGUUCUUGACCGCUCCCUGGAGGAAGCACGGGCUAAGUUCGUGCCAGCAGCCGCGGUAAGACGAACCGUGCAAACGUUAUUCGGAAUCACUGGGCUUAAAGCGCGUGUAGGCGGAUCGGCACGUCGGAUGUUGAAAUCCCCCGGCUCAACCGGGGAA
RNAcentral lists this ribosomal RNA (549 nucleotides) under uncultured bacterium. RNAcentral's name for it is "bacterial SSU rRNA". It matches the Rfam family "Bacterial small subunit ribosomal RNA", at positions 62 to 620 of the family's 1533-position model. The record is from RNAcentral.